Molecule: ribosomal RNA, 885 nt
Filed under: Sphaerulina abeliceae
Lineage: Eukaryota; Fungi; Ascomycota; Dothideomycetes; Mycosphaerellales; Mycosphaerellaceae
Description: LSU rRNA
Rfam family: Eukaryotic large subunit ribosomal RNA
Source: RNAcentral
CAAUAAGCGGAGGAAAAGAAACCAACAGGGAUUGCCCUAGUAACGGCGAGUGAAGCGGCAACAGCUCAAAUUUGAAAUCUGGCGCAAGCCCGAGUUGUAAUUUGUAGAGGAUGCUUCUGGGUAGCGACCGGUCUAAGUUCCUUGGAACAGGACGUCAGAGAGGGUGAGAAUCCCGUAUGUGACCGGCCCGCACCCUUUACGUAGCUCCUUCGACGAGUCGAGUUGUUUGGGAAUGCAGCUCUAAAUGGGAGGUAAAUUUCUUCUAAAGCUAAAUACCGGCCAGAGACCGAUAGCGCACAAGUAGAGUGAUCGAAAGAUGAAAAGUACUUUGGAAAGAGAGUUAAAAAGCACGUGAAAUUGUUGAAAGGGAAGCGCCUGCAAUCAGACUUCGCGGCAGUGUUCCGCCGGCCUUCUGGCCGGUUUAUUCUCUGUCGCGAGGCCAUCAUCGUCUCGGCCCGCUGGAUAAGACCUUGGGAAUGUAGCUCACCUUCGGGGGAGUGUUAUAGCUCAUGGUGAUGCAGCGAGGCUGGGGCGAGGUCCGCGCUUCGGCAAGGAUGAUGGCGUAAUGGUUGUCGGCGGCCCGUCUUGAAACACGGACCAAGGAGUCUAACAUCUAUGCGAGUGUUCGGGUGUCAAACCCCUACGCGUAAUGAAAGUGAACGGAGGUGGGAACCGCAAGGUGCACCAUCGACCGAUCCUGAUGUCCUCGGAUGGAUUUGAGUAAGAGCAUAGCUGUUGGGACCCGAAAGAUGGUGAACUAUGCCUGAAUAGGGUGAAGCCAGAGGAAACUCUGGUGGAGGCUCGCAGCGGUUCUGACGUGCAAAUCGAUCGUCAAAUUUGGGUAUAGGGGCGAAAGACUAAUCGAACCAUCUAGUAGCUGGUCUG